RNAcentral lists this ribosomal RNA (767 nucleotides) under uncultured bacterium. RNAcentral describes it as "bacterial SSU rRNA". It matches the Rfam family "Bacterial small subunit ribosomal RNA", at positions 616 to 1384 of the family's 1533-position model. The record is from RNAcentral.
GGGAACUGCGUUNUGAACUGGGUGACUAGAGUGUGUCAGAGGGAGGUAGAAUUCCACGUGUAGCAGUGAAAUGCGUAGAGAUGUGGAGGAAUACCGAUGGCGAAGGCAGCCUCCUGGGAUAACACUGACGUUCAUGCCCGAAAGCGUGGGUAGCAAACAGGAUUAGAUACCCUGGUAGUCCACGCCCUAAACGAUGUCGAUUAGCUGUUGGGCAGCAUGACUGCUUAGUAGCGAAGCUAACGCGUGAAAUCGACCGCCUGGGGAGUACGGUCGCAAGAUUAAAACUCAAAGGAAUUGACGGGGACCCGCACAAGCGGUGGAUGAUGUGGAUUAAUUCGAUGCAACGCGAAGAACCUUACCUGGUCUUGACAUGUACGGAACCCUCCAGAGACGGAGGGGUGCCUUCGGGAGCCGUAACACAGGUGCUGCAUGGCUGUCGUCAGCUCGUGUCGUGAGAUGUUGGGUUAAGUCCCGCAACGAGCGCAACCCUUGUCAUUAGUUGCCAUCAUUAAGUUGGGCACUCUAAUGAGACUGCCGGUGACAAGCCGGAGGAAGGUGGGGAUGACGUCAAGUCCUCAUGGCCCUUAUGACCAGGGCUUCACACGUCAUACAAUGGUCGGUACAGAGGGUAGCCAAGCCGCGAGGUGGAGCCAAUCUCACAAAACCGAUCGUAGUCCGGAUUGCACUCUGCAACUCGAGUGCAUGAAGUCGGAAUCGCUAGUAAUCGCAGGUCAGCAUACUGCGGUGAAUACGUUCCCGGGUCUUGU